RNAcentral lists this ribosomal RNA (70 nucleotides) under Rickettsiaceae bacterium. RNAcentral describes it as "partial 16S ribosomal RNA". Lineage: Bacteria; Pseudomonadati; Pseudomonadota; Alphaproteobacteria; Rickettsiales; Rickettsiaceae. The record is from RNAcentral.
UUGUAGUCUGAAAUUCGACUGCAUGAAAAAGGAAUUACUAGUAAUCGUGAGUAAUCACAUCACGGUGAAU